Molecule: long non-coding RNA, 638 nt
Filed under: Gallus gallus (chicken)
Lineage: Eukaryota; Metazoa; Chordata; Aves; Galliformes; Phasianidae
Source: RNAcentral
AAAACCACAUCAGAGCUGUUCUCCCAUGAGAGAUUGAAAAGACUCAAUUUUUCAGCAGAGCAUGCAGGGAUGUUGAAAACCCAUCUCUGGCCCACCAGUGAAAAUAAUGACUCCUGCUAUUUUGGGUUCUGUGGAGCUAAGAUGAAGUAUCAAAAAAAGAUUCCGAUGUUUUCUGAUACCAUCGUGCUCCUUGGCAUAGGAGGGAUGAAUGGAACAGAAGCUCACAUGUGGAAGAUGACUGAUUUUUGUAGCAUUGCAGGCAGGAGCUGCCAGCAGGGAAGCUAAUACAUGAGGGGCUGAGGAGUGAGUGCUUGAGGAGGAAACCAUCUAGAUCUCUUAGACAGCUUAGUAUGUAAUUCUGGUAAUACUAUGGACUCUUUUCAUUCCGCUUUCUGUAAUAAUUUAUGAGAGCUAAGAGACUGUAGUUAGUAAUGGGUCUACUAUGGCUAUUUUUCCUCUGAGCCAUAUCCUUAAUGGUAUUUUUAUACAAUAUUUUUUUUUGCCUUUGCGAGCUAAGCUGUUUUGCUGUGUGCUCAAAGCCUGUUGGGGCAUGGUGUGGGUGGCUGCAGUGCAGUGGGUGCUGUACCUGUGGCACAGCAGGGCUGUCCCAAAGCUCUGGAGAAGGGGAAGAUGUGCCC